GCGAAGUGGUUGCGGGGAGCGGGGGUAAGACAGGGGGUGGUAAAGGUGUUGGGAAUGACUGUGCGUGAAGCGUGUGUAGGCGGCUAAGCAAGUCGGGUGUGAAAGCCCUUGGCUCAACUGAGGAAGAGCACUCGAAACUGCGUAGCUUGAGGUCUGGAGAGGAUGGUGGAAUUCUCGGUGUAGAGGUGAAAUUCGUAGAUAUCGAGAGGAACACCAGUGGCGAAGGCGGCCAUCUGGACAGAAACUGACGCUGAGACGCGAAAGCGUGGGUAGCAAACAGGAUUAGAUACCCUGGUAGUC
RNAcentral lists this ribosomal RNA (300 nucleotides) under uncultured Bacillus sp. RNAcentral's name for it is "bacterial SSU rRNA". The stretch from base 52 to 300 matches the Rfam family "Bacterial small subunit ribosomal RNA", at positions 547 to 795 of the family's 1533-position model. The record is from RNAcentral. Lineage: Bacteria; Bacillati; Bacillota; Bacilli; Caryophanales; Bacillaceae.